Molecule: ribosomal RNA, 254 nt
Filed under: uncultured bacterium
Lineage: Bacteria
Description: partial 16S ribosomal RNA
Rfam family: Bacterial small subunit ribosomal RNA
Source: RNAcentral
UACGAAGGGGGGCUAGCGUUGCUCGGAAUCACUGGGCGUAAAGCGCACGUAGGCGGAUUGCUAAGUCAGGGGUGAAAUCCUGGAGCUCAACUCCAGAACUGCCUUUGAUACUGGCGAUCUCGAGUCCGGGAGAGGUGAGUGGAACUGCGAGUGUAGAGGUGAAAUUCGUAGAUAUUCGCAAGAACACCAGUGGCGAAGGCGGCUCACUGGCCCGGUACUGACGCUGAGGUGCGAAAGCGUGGGGAGCAAACAGG